This 73-nucleotide transfer RNA is filed under the name Camelus bactrianus (Bactrian camel). It matches the Rfam family "tRNA". Rfam says of the family: Transfer RNA (tRNA) molecules are approximately 80 nucleotides in length. Their secondary structure includes four short double-helical elements and three loops (D, anti-codon, and T loops). Lineage: Eukaryota; Metazoa; Chordata; Mammalia; Artiodactyla; Camelidae. The record is from Rfam by way of RNAcentral. RNAcentral also lists the same sequence under 1 other name.
GAGAGUAUAGCUCAGGUGGUAGAGUACAUGCUUAGCACGCAUGAGGGCUUGGGCUCAAUCCCCAGUACUUCCU